AUGACGAAAUGGAGAGCUUCUCGAAGUAUUCCACUGCUAAACUACAACAGGAUUUACCUCCACCGACGAUUCCAUUUCACUACAUUUCUUCGCAGCGCCCGACCUGCUCAGCCGCAAGCUUCCUUCCGUGGCGGCGCCAAUAACAGCAGUGGAAGUUCGCAAGGCAAUUCUUUUUUAGUGCCUGGUGCAACUGUGGCAACGAUACUUAUGCUUGGUGCACUUCAUGUCCGUCGUAUGUAUGAUGAUAAACAGAUUGAAGAGGCCAAGGCUAAGGGUAUCGAAUCAGAGUUCCACCCGGAUGUGAAGGCUAGAUUCUUGAGAUUGCUACUCUUGCGCUCUAUUUCACGAUUUUGGGGCUCCUUGACUGGUGUGGAACUUCCCAUUUGGUUACGGCCAUAUGUAUAUAACGCAUGGGCUCGAGCUUUUCACUCUAACUUGGAAGAAGCUCAACUACCAUUGGAAGAAUAUGCUAGCUUAAGAGAAUUUUUUGUUCGCAAAUUGAAAGAGAGCUCCAGGCCUAUUGAUUCUGACCCUUAUUGUUUGGUCAGUCCUGUAGAUGGGACAGUUCUAAGAUUUGGUGAGUUAAGAGGACCAGGGGCUAUGAUUGAGCAAGUAAAGGGAUGUUCUUAUUCUGCUUCUUCCCUUCUUGGUGCAAACUCGCAUCUUCCCAUGAUUGCAGCAGAAGAUGCUAAUGAAUAUAGUGGCAAGGAAGAGAAAACUGUGAGAGAUGUGAACCAGAAGUCAUGGUGGAGUAUUUCCUUCUUGGCUUCUCCUAAAGUUAGAGAUAAUGCAUCAUCCUGCCCACAGAAAGGCCUCUUCUAUUGUGUAAUUUACUUGAAGCCUGGAGACUACCAUCGGAUACAUUCUCCAGUUGAUUGGAAUCUUCUCCUUCGACGGCAUUUUUCCGGCAAGCUAUAAUUUUGUCAUCUCUUUCCAAUGAAUGAGCGAGCAACGAGAACCAUCAGAAACUUGUAUGUUGAAAAUGAAAGGGUGUGUGAAGGUUUUCGCUAGAUCCAGGAAAGGAAGAGGACGCUUGCAUGGUCCUAGG
Salvia splendens (bonfire salvia) is the source of this 1048-nucleotide RNA transcript. It is a transcript of the gene named phosphatidylserine decarboxylase proenzyme 1, mitochondrial, with no coding region annotated. The transcript has 10 exons. The record is from RefSeq and is a predicted model, not a curated record. NCBI's taxonomy places the organism in Eukaryota, Viridiplantae, Streptophyta, Magnoliopsida, Lamiales, Lamiaceae.